UACGUAGGGUGCGAGCGUUGUCCGGAGUUACUGGGCGUAAAGAGCUUGUAGGUGGUUUGUCGCGUUGUUCGUGAAAUCUCACGGCUCAACUGUGAGCGUGCGGGCGAUACGGGCAGACUAGAGUACUGCAGGGGAGACUGGAAUUCCUGGUGUAGCGGUGGAAUGCGCAGAUAUCAGGAGGAACACCGGUGGCGAAGGCGGCUGUCUGGACACUUACUGACGCUGAGACGCGAAAGCGUGGGGAGCAAACAGG
Molecule: ribosomal RNA, 253 nt
Filed under: uncultured bacterium
Lineage: Bacteria
Description: partial 16S ribosomal RNA
Rfam family: Bacterial small subunit ribosomal RNA
Source: RNAcentral